AUUAAACGCUGGCGGCAUGCCUUACACAUGCAAGUCGAACGGCAGCACGGGGGCAACCCUGGUGGCGAGUGGCGAACGGGUGAGUAAAGCAUCGGAACGUGCCCUGGAGUGGGGGAUAACGUAGCGAAAGUUACGCUAAUACCGCAUAUUCUGUGAGCAGGAAAGCAGGGGAUCGCAAGACCUUGCGCUCUGGGAGCGGCCGAUGUCGGAUUAGCUAGUUGGUGGGGUAAAGGCCCACCAAGGCGACGAUCCGUAGCUGGUCUGAGAGGAUGAUCAGCCACACUGGAACUGAGACACGGUCCAGACUCCUACGGGAGGCAGCAGUGGGGAAUAUUGGACAAUGGGCGCAAGCCUGAUCCAGCAAUGCCGCGUGUGUGAAGAAGGCCU
This 387-nucleotide ribosomal RNA is filed under the name uncultured bacterium. RNAcentral's name for it is "bacterial SSU rRNA". It matches the Rfam family "Bacterial small subunit ribosomal RNA", at positions 29 to 417 of the family's 1533-position model. The record is from RNAcentral.